GGCAACCCAUACUGACUGCCCUGAAGUUCUUAUUUGGGAUGUUGAAGCCCAACCUAACCGUCAUGCUGUCCUUGGAGCAGCUGAUUCUCGUCCAGAUUUGGUAUUGACUGGACAUCAAGAGAAUGCUGAAUUUGCUCUCGCUAUGUGUCCUACUGAGCCCUUAGUGCUCUCUGGAGGGAAGGACAAGUCUGUUGUCUUGUG
Molecule: unclassified non-coding RNA, 201 nt
Filed under: Hevea brasiliensis (rubber tree)
Lineage: Eukaryota; Viridiplantae; Streptophyta; Magnoliopsida; Malpighiales; Euphorbiaceae
Source: RNAcentral